UACGUAGGGUGCGAGCGUUAAUCGGAAUUACUGGGCGUAAAGGGCGCGCAGGCGGCAGACCAAGUCAGGCGUGAAAGCCCCGGGCUUAACCUGGGAGGUGCGUCUGGGACUGGUAUGCUAGAGUCCGGGAGAGGAGAGUGGAAUUCCCAGUGUAGAGGUGAAAUUCGUAGAUAUUGGGAAGAACACCGGUGGCGAAGGCGGCCAUCUGGACGGUAACUGACGCUGAGACGCGAAAGCGUGGGGAGCAAACAGG
Molecule: ribosomal RNA, 253 nt
Filed under: uncultured bacterium
Lineage: Bacteria
Description: partial 16S ribosomal RNA
Rfam family: Bacterial small subunit ribosomal RNA
Source: RNAcentral